Molecule: long non-coding RNA, 2855 nt
Filed under: Equus caballus (horse)
Lineage: Eukaryota; Metazoa; Chordata; Mammalia; Perissodactyla; Equidae
Description: lncRNA (ENSECAG00000059988.1)
Source: RNAcentral
GCAAGGAAAGCUCAUUCAUUUCUUUGGUGUAGGUUAAAAGUCUACAGCUUGGGCUCACGGUAUUUAUUAUUUUUGGGCCAUAGCAUUUUGAUUUGAUGUAAAGUUUUAAGCAAAAUUAGCAGUUUUCAUUCCCUAUUGGAGUAAAAGAAUUAUUUUCUCCCUUGUUCUUGGUUUAAGGUUUUGUUCAUAAUCUUCUUUCUUUAUUCCAUUCUUCUCUCCCCCUCCUCCCAGUGCUAACUUGGGACAAACAGUUCAGCCUUUGCCUCAACACAGAUAAAAGCACCUGUAAGCAAUUCUCUGUCCACUUGUCUUAUGUGCUGAUUUCUCAAAUCUGCAAUAAUCCAUCAGGUUAAUGAUUUUACCUGAAAAUAAAAAAAAAGCCUGCUUUACCUUUUUGUUUAUAGUUCUGUGCUGUAUGCAUCGCUUCAGUUGUGUAGAUGUAUUUCAGUGGACGUAAAUCAUCACGUCUCCGUGACUUGAGUCAUGGCUGAUUUUCCUAUUCCAAGAAUUUAUAAUAGCAACUUGAAGAACAUGAAACGUGGAAAGAAAAUGGGAGGAGAUACCUUCCUUUCUAAGGUUCUAAAUUAAGCCUGUUGCAUAAAUUGGAGAGAAUUUCCAUAAUUCAUCUUUUUUAAAAUAAUGAGAUGAAUUAAUUGUUUUUCUACUGAACUUUGAGAAAUCAAUUUUGUUUUAUUGACUGUUCCAAAGUCUUAAUUGAUGUAAAAGCCCCUUGUUCCCUAUCCUACCACCAAAAAGAAAUUUGGUGGCGUGUUUUAUUUACAUUACUUUGUUUGUUACACUUAAAUGGCCUUAUAUGGAGCAUGACUUCUUCACAGUGAACUUGAGCGGUGCCCCACGAAGUACGAUGGAGCAUUGAAUCAGGCAAAAUUAGUGCUAAAGAAUGAGCCGGUUUGUUUUAAACUGUUCUGAUACCUUUUUACAAACUAAGCACAAAGAUUUUUGCGUGAACAUAGCAUUUCGUUCCUCACUUUUUUUAAAGGGUCCUAUUGUUAAAAUUUAGACGUAUGUAUAAGGAAAGUAAUGUUUCAUAUUAAAAUAUCUGUAUUUGACAUUUUAUCCAUAUGGUGGCCCAGGCAGAUUUGGCCUCGCUGAUUUCAGCAUCUAAUGAGUACGUUUGAUCGUUUUUGAAUCAAACCCUGGAGCUUGAGUGUUUCAAAAUCAAUAGUUAUCUGUUUAAAUGUUUUCAGUCUUUAGCUUACUCCUUAAUAUGUGGGACCCUUGGUUAAUUAGGGGCUGGAAGACUUUUCCCAUUUUAAAGCAAUCUCUCUUGGCAGAGGCCUUAAUAUUGCAUCAUAGGGAAAAAGCAUAUACUUCAUUUGCUGUUAUUCCAGUUAUGCCUUAAAUUUGUUUGCUUAGUCAUCCUAUCAACAAGCACUAAUUCCUCAGCAUGCUUCACACACAUAGACAGUUGGGUCAUAACUGAGAUUUUGUCAUCCUGCAGUUUUUGCCGAGAUGGAAUCAGGUCUUCAUCACAGCUGACGCCAACUGUGUGGUGGUGUCAUUUAGACAGUUCCAGUUUGAUCUGCUUUGUAUAUGAGAACAUAUUUUUAACUAUUUCACUUUAAGAAGGAAAGAAGAGGUAGUUAAAUAUAGUAAUCCCUUCCUCCCAGUCCCACAAAAGUGAAUUGUAAGUUCUAGGUAGUCUAAUUGGGAACAGACAUGGACAGAGUUCUAGAUGCCUUAGCCAAACCCAGCAGAAACCUUUCGCACAGCUCCUCAUUGUAAGGAUACAGAUUUCUCUCUUCCUGUGCUUCAGCUCUGGUUCUGGUGUGUAGUGAGAGUGAACUUUCUUUCACCUUAGCAUUCAGUGAAGAAGGUAAUGUCCUUAAGUCCCUCUUUCCUGCAUUUGGCUGUUAGGAACAUAACAUGAAAAGGAGCGGUGCAGCUGACCAACUGUGACGGUCGCUUCCUGUUCUGGAGUUACUUCCCUAGGGCAUCCUGUGCAUAAAGGCCACACAGCUGAAGGACAAAGCCUCAACUUCUACAUCCAAGAAAUUAGAUCCAACUCUUGAUUUUCCUCAGUGAGGAUUAUUGCCAGCAAAUUGUAAGUCUGUCCUCCCUCUAGUUCAUCAGGUGUUGAGGCUGUGCUCCCAAUUCCUGCCAGGGAGCAUGAGCUCAGGAAAAGGGAAUGUCACUGACACUCCAAGAAGAAAAUGUGAUUGAGAAAGGAGCCUUGCUGGGAAAGACGUUCAGAGUGCAUUCAGAAACCUAAGCCUUCUGGGGGAUUCUGGAUGGUGCGCUUCAUUGUUAGCAAAGAUGAUCAAGCCUUUAAUUCAUUUAUCUUAGGCUUUGUUUUUUGGACCCAUUUUCUUCUCCCUACUGUAAUAAGAACAUUGUUUGGAAAUGUCAUACUCUGUAUUUCCAAUUCUCUGAGAAAUGCGUAUGUCUGAGUCUUAGGGUUGACAUUGCAGUAGUUGGCAUACAUGGGAAAGGAUAACCUAGUGACAAAUCACGGGGAAUGCUUCCUUUGUUACCUCAAAAAAAUUCCAGACAAAAUAUAGCAUUUAUAUUUAUAGGAAACAGAGGAUUGGCUGUUUUCCAAGAACUUCAAGUUAAUUCUUAUGCAAGAAAAAGUUCUUAACUCUAAAGACUUGUUCUGCGUAAAGGAGACAUUCUUUAAUAAUGGAAGAGGUGGUUUUAUUUUUACAACAAGCCUGCUCAUACUACCAAACCUAUAACCAAUUGCUGAUCUCCUGUGUAAAGCAUUUUUUUUCUCUUACCUGAAACAGUGAUUUAUAUGAACUGUUGGAAUAAUGGAACCUCAAACUACAGAUGUGUAUGUAAAAUUGCAUAAAUGCACUGACUUCCUUCUCCCUGAAUAUAUUUUUAAUAAA